Molecule: transfer RNA, 68 nt
Filed under: Liolaemus magellanicus
Lineage: Eukaryota; Metazoa; Chordata; Lepidosauria; Squamata
Description: tRNA-Cys
Source: RNAcentral
AGCCCCGGAGCCCCUUAAGGGCUCUUCUUCAAACUUGCAUUUUGACGUGUUAACACCCCAGGGCUAAG